GACGAACGCUGGCGGCGUGCCUAACACAUGCAAGUCGAACGGAGAGCAUUCCUUCGGGGAUGUUUCUUAGUGGCGAACGGGUGAGUAACGCGUGAGCAACCUGCCUUUCAGUGGGGGACAACAGUUGGAAACGACUGCUAAUACCGCAUAAUGUUUCAUUUGGGCAUCCUUAUGAAACCAAAGAUCUAUUGCUGAAAGAUGGGCUCGCGUCUGAUUAGCUGGUUGGCGGGGUAACGGCCCACCAAGGCGACGAUCAGUAGCCGGACUGAGAGGUCGAUCGGCCACAUUGGGACUGAGAUACGGCCCAGACUCCUACGGGAGGCAGCAGUGGGGAAUAUUGGGCAAUGGGCGAAAGCCUGACCCAGCAACGCCGCGUGAGGGACCAGAAGGUUCUCGUGAUUGUAAACCUCUUUGUACCAGGGACAGAGAGAAAGUGACGGUACCUGGAGAAAAAGCCACGGCUAACUACGUGCCAGCAGCCGCGGUAAUACGUAGGUGGCAAGCGUUGUCCGGAUUUACUGGGUGUAAAGGGCGUGUAGGCGGGAAGGCAGGUCAGAUGUGAAAUGUCGGGGCUCAACCCCGGAACUGCAUUUGAAACCACUUUUCUUGAGUAUCGGAGAGGCAGGCGGAAUUCCUAGUGUAGCGGUGAAAUGCAUAGAUAUUAGGAAGAACACCAGUGGCGAAGGCGGCCUGCUGGACGACAACUGACGCUGAGGCGCGAAAGCGUGGGGAGCAAACAGGAUUAGAUACCCUGGUAGUCCACGCCGUAAACGAUGGAUACUAGGUGUGGGGAGUAUUGAUCCUCUCCGUGCCGCCGUUAACACAGUAAGUAUCCCACCUGGGGAGUACGACCGCAAGGUUGAAACUCAAAGGAAUUGACGGGGGUCCGCACAAGCAGUGGAUUAUGUGGUUUAAUCCGACGCAACGCGAAGAACCUUACCAGGGCUUGACAUCCUACUAACGAAACAGAGAUGCAUUAGGUGCCCUUCGGGGAAAGUAGAGACAGGUGGUGCAUGGUUGUCGUCAGCUCGUGUCGUGAGAUGUUGGGUUAAGUCCCGCAACGAGCGCAACCCUUAUGGUUAGUUGCUACGCAAGAGCACUCUAGCCAGACCGCCGUUGACAAAACGGAGGAAGGUGGGGAUGACGUCAAAUCAUCAUGCCCCUUACGUCCUGGGCUACACACGUAAUACAAUGGCAGUUAACAGAGGGAAGCAAUACCGCGAGGUGGAGCAAAUCCCUAAAAGCUGUCCCAGUUCGGACUGCAGGCUGCAACCCGCCUGCACGAAGUCGGAAUUGCUAGUAAUCGCGGAUCAGAAUGCCGCGGUGAAUACGUUCCCGGACCU
This 1343-nucleotide ribosomal RNA is filed under the name uncultured bacterium. RNAcentral's name for it is "bacterial SSU rRNA". It matches the Rfam family "Bacterial small subunit ribosomal RNA", at positions 28 to 1381 of the family's 1533-position model. The record is from RNAcentral.